Molecule: ribosomal RNA, 466 nt
Filed under: uncultured bacterium
Lineage: Bacteria
Description: partial 16S ribosomal RNA
Rfam family: Bacterial small subunit ribosomal RNA
Source: RNAcentral
GACGAACGCUGGCGGCGCGCCUAACACAUGCAAGUCGAACGAGCGAGAGAGAGCUUGCUUUCUCGAGCGAGUGGCGAACGGGUGAGUAACGCGUGAGGAACCUGCCUCAAAGAGGGGGACAACAGUUGGAAACGACUGCUAAUACCGCAUAAGCCCACGGCUCGGCAUCGAGCAGGGGGAAAAUGAGCAAUCCGCUUUGAGAUGGCCUCGCUUCCGAUUAGCUUGUUGGUGGGGUAACGGCCCACCAAGGCGACGAUCGGUAGCCGGAAUGAGAGGUUGAACGGGCACAUUGGGACUGAGACACGGCCCAGACUCCUACGGGAGGCAGCAGUGGGGAAUAUUGCACAAUGGGGGAAAGCCUGAUGAAGCGAGGCCGCGUGGAGGAAGAAGGUCUUCGGAUUGGAAACUCAUGUUGUAGGGGAAGAUAAUGACGGUACCCAACAAGGAAGUGACGGCUAACUACGUG